This 446-nucleotide ribosomal RNA is filed under the name uncultured Bacillota bacterium. RNAcentral describes it as "bacterial SSU rRNA". It matches the Rfam family "Bacterial small subunit ribosomal RNA", at positions 357 to 795 of the family's 1533-position model. The record is from RNAcentral. Lineage: Bacteria; Bacillati; Bacillota.
GGGAAUCUUCCGCAAUGGGCGCAAGCCUGAUGGAGCAACGCCGCGUGAGUGAAGAAGGUCUUCGGAUUGUAAAGCUCUGUCCUUAGGGAAGAACCGUGGGUAUAGUUAAUGAUACCCAUCUGACGGUACCUUUGGAGGAAGCACUGGCUAACUACGUGCCAGCAGCCGCGGUAAUACGUAGAGUGCAAGCGUUGUCCGGAAUUAUUGGGCGUAAAGGGUACGCAGGCGGAUAAUCAAGUCAAGCAUGAAAGGUGUCGGCUUAACCGACAGACUGCGUUUGAAACUGAUUAUCUUGAGUGUAACAGAGGAGAGUGGAAUUCCUAGUGUAGUGGUGAAAUACGUAGAUAUUAGGAAGAACACCAGUGGCGAAGGCGACUCUCUGGGUUAACACUGACGCUGAGGUACGAAAGCUGGGGGAGCGAAAGGGAUUAGAUACCCCUGUAGUC